GCCGCGAUAGCUCAGUUGGGAGAGCGUUAGACUGAAGAUCUAAAGGUCCCCGGUUCAAUCCCGGGUCGCGGCA
Molecule: transfer RNA, 73 nt
Filed under: Branchiostoma floridae (Florida lancelet)
Lineage: Eukaryota; Metazoa; Chordata; Leptocardii; Amphioxiformes; Branchiostomatidae
Also listed under: 1 other name
Description: tRNA-Phe (GAA) (tRNA-Phe-GAA-2-1)
Rfam family: tRNA
About the family: Transfer RNA (tRNA) molecules are approximately 80 nucleotides in length. Their secondary structure includes four short double-helical elements and three loops (D, anti-codon, and T loops). Further hydrogen bonds mediate the characteristic L-shaped molecular structure. tRNAs have two regions of fundamental functional importance: the anti-codon, which is responsible for specific mRNA codon recognition, and the 3' end, to which the tRNAs corresponding amino acid is attached (by aminoacyl-tRNA synthetases). tRNAs cope with the degeneracy of the genetic code in two manners: having more than one tRNA (with a specific anti-codon) for a particular amino acid; and 'wobble' base-pairing, i.e. permitting non-standard base-pairing at the 3rd anti-codon position.
Source: RNAcentral